RNAcentral lists this long non-coding RNA (447 nucleotides) under Physcomitrium patens. RNAcentral's name for it is "long non-coding RNA (PPAT_LNC002455)". The record is from RNAcentral. Lineage: Eukaryota; Viridiplantae; Streptophyta; Bryopsida; Funariales; Funariaceae.
AUUAUUUGUAUUGUUGAUGCAUAAACUGGCACAUUAUUACAUGUACAUUUGUAAAAUUGUUGUUCUGAAGAUAAUGUAUUCCCAUCUCUUUAAGGAUAAAUAUCCAAUCAAUAAAAAAAUAAAGUACUUAUAUUUGAAGCACCAAAAAUGUUUACAAUGAAUCCCAAUCCUUGGACAUCUUUGACUGAAAUUGAAGUUGCUAAGAUUUUGCAUCUAAAACAGAUCACAUAUGAAGCACCUGAUGGCUUCAAUGAUGCACCUAAAAUUAUAAGAAUUCUUAUUAAUGAGGCUCAAAAUGCACCUACUCAGAUUGUAAUGCCAUUGACUACAAUACCUCAAGUUAUAACAACAACAACUAAAAAAAAUUUAUGGACCAGAUAAGCAACCAUGUAAGAAGAAAGCUAUAAUAUUAAUUAAUCCUGGUAUUAUUUUUCAAGAAAUUCCCAC